Molecule: long non-coding RNA, 326 nt
Filed under: Bos indicus x Bos taurus (hybrid cattle)
Lineage: Eukaryota; Metazoa; Chordata; Mammalia; Artiodactyla; Bovidae
Description: lncRNA (ENSBIXG00005004618.1)
Source: RNAcentral
UUUUAAUGGAAAGUCCACUUCAUUUGAACAUGAUUUAUUCAGCACCCAUAAAAUUGGAUCAGUCAUUGGCCAAACCAAAUGAAAACAAUAGCGGUCAUCAACAGAGCGGAUUUCCAUCAAAGUACUCAGCCAUGAUGAGAAAUGAGACUGUUGUUCUACAGAGAAAAAUCUGGAAAGAUUCUGAUGUAGCCUAUGCUAUACCUAAACGAUACAUCAAAUGGGAUAUAAGGAAUAUGGCCUUAUAAAAUUCACAAAUAGCCCUCUAAUCAAAUCCCUCUGAGAUGGUACCACACAAAUCAAAACAAUAAAUGCAUCAUUUAAUUAGC